CAGAGGGUGCAAGCGUUAAUCGGAUUUACUGGGCGUAAAGCGCGCGUAGGCGGCUAAUUAAGUCAAAUGUGAAAUCCCCGAGCUUAACUUGGGAAUUGCAUUCGAUACUGGUUAGCUAGAGUGUGGGAGAGGAUGGUAGAAUUCCAGGUGUAGCGGUGAAAUGCGUAGAGAUCUGGAGGAAUACCGAUGGCGAAGGCAGCCAUCUGGCCUAACACUGACGCUGAGGUGCGAAAGCAUGGGGAGCAAACAGGAUUAGAUACCCUGGUAGUCCAUGCCGUAAACGAUGUCUACUAGCCGUUGGGGCCUUUGAGGCUUUAGUGGCGCAGCUAACGCGAUAAGUAGACCGCCUGGGGAGUACGGUCGCAAGACUA
RNAcentral lists this ribosomal RNA (371 nucleotides) under uncultured organism. RNAcentral describes it as "bacterial SSU rRNA". It matches the Rfam family "Bacterial small subunit ribosomal RNA", at positions 526 to 896 of the family's 1533-position model. The record is from RNAcentral.